RNAcentral lists this ribosomal RNA (488 nucleotides) under uncultured bacterium. RNAcentral's name for it is "partial 16S ribosomal RNA". It matches the Rfam family "Bacterial small subunit ribosomal RNA", at positions 30 to 523 of the family's 1533-position model. The record is from RNAcentral.
AUUGAACGCUGGCGGCAGGCCUAACACAUGCAAGUCGAGCGGGGUUUUCGGACCUAGCGGCGGACGGGUGAGUAAUGCGUAGGAAGCUGCCCGAUAGAGGGGGAUACCAGUUGGAAACGACUGUUAAUACCGCAUAAUGUCUACGGACCAAAGUGUGGGACCUUCGGGCCACAUGCUAUCGGAUGCGCCUACGUGGGAUUAGCUAGUUGGUGAGGUAAUGGCUCACCAAGGCGACGAUCUCUAGCUGGUUUGAGAGGAUGAUCAGCCACACUGGAACUGAGACACGGUCCAGACUCCUACGGGAGGCAGCAGUGGGGAACAUUGGACAAUGGGCGCAAGCCUGAUCCAGCCAUGCCGCGUGUGUGAAGAAGGCCUCCGGGUUGUAAAGCACUUUCAGCGAGGAGGAAGGGUGGUGUGUUAAUAGCACAUCAUUUUGACGUUACUCGCAGAAGGAGCACCGGCUAACUCUGUGCCAGCCGCCGCGGUAA